This 212-nucleotide ribosomal RNA is filed under the name Ignavibacteriota bacterium. RNAcentral describes it as "Ignavibacteriae bacterium (activated sludge metagenome) partial 16S ribosomal RNA". It matches the Rfam family "Bacterial small subunit ribosomal RNA", at positions 1 to 209 of the family's 1533-position model. Lineage: Bacteria; Pseudomonadati; Ignavibacteriota. The record is from RNAcentral.
ACAACGGAGAGUUUGAUCCUGGCUCAGGACGAACGCUGGCGGCGUGCUUAACACAUGCAAGUCAAGGAGAAAGUUCCUUUCGGGGAAUGAUUAAACUGGCGCACGGGUGAGUAAUAUAUAAGCAAUCUACCCUUAGGUAAGGAAUAACGUCGAGAAAUCGGCGCUAAUACCAUAUAAUGCAGCGGCAUCGCAUGAUGAUGUUGUUAAAGUUU